This 474-nucleotide ribosomal RNA is filed under the name uncultured bacterium. RNAcentral's name for it is "partial 16S ribosomal RNA". It matches the Rfam family "Bacterial small subunit ribosomal RNA", at positions 28 to 523 of the family's 1533-position model. The record is from RNAcentral.
GACGAACGCUGGCGGCGUGCUUCAUACAUGCAAGUCGAACGUUAAGGCCCUUUCGGGGGUACAAAAGUGGCGGACGGGUGAGUAACACGUAGGAAAUCUACCUUAAAGUGGGGGAUAACAGUUGGAAACGACUGCUAAUACCGCAUAUGUCAUAGUUCGAAAUAAUUAUGAUGAAAGUUCUGGCGCUUUAAGAUGAGCCUGCGGCUGAUUAGCUUGUUGGUGGGGUAAAGGCCUACCAAGGCGACGAUCAGUAGCUGGUUUGAGAGGAUGAUCAGCCACAAUGGGACUGAGACACGGCCCAUACUCCUACGGGAGGCAGCAGUAGGGAAUUUUGCGCAAUGGGCGAAAGCCUGACGCAGCAACGCCGCGUGAGCGAUGAAGCCCUUUGGGGUGUAAAGCUCUGUCAGUGGGGACGAAUUUUGACGGUACCCACAGAGGAAGCAUCGGCUAACUACGUGCCAGCAGCCGCGGUAA